RNAcentral lists this transfer RNA (90 nucleotides) under Planctomycetota bacterium. RNAcentral's name for it is "Planctomycetes bacterium tRNA-Ser". It matches the Rfam family "tRNA". From Rfam's summary of the family: Transfer RNA (tRNA) molecules are approximately 80 nucleotides in length. Their secondary structure includes four short double-helical elements and three loops (D, anti-codon, and T loops). Lineage: Bacteria; Pseudomonadati; Planctomycetota. The record is from RNAcentral.
GGAGAGAUGGCUGAGUGGCCGAAAGCGCCGGAUUGCUAAUCCGGUGAGUGGGGAAUCCCUGCUCCGCGGGUUCGAAUCCCGCUCUCUCCG